This 253-nucleotide ribosomal RNA is filed under the name uncultured bacterium. Its description in RNAcentral is "partial 16S ribosomal RNA". It matches the Rfam family "Bacterial small subunit ribosomal RNA", at positions 524 to 776 of the family's 1533-position model. The record is from RNAcentral.
GACGGAGGAUGCAAGCGUUAUCGGGAAUUAUUGGGCGUAAAGGGUGCGUAGGUGGUCAGACAAGUCCCAUGUCAAAGCAUGGUGCUUAACGCCAUAAAGGCGUGGGAAACUGUCAGACUAGAGUACAGCAGGGGCAGGAGGAAUUCCCGGUGUAGCGGUGAAAUGCGUAGAUAUCGGGAAGAACACCAGUGGCGCAAGCGUCCUGCUGGGUUGUAACUGACACUGAGGCACGAAAGCUAGGGGAGCGAAAGGG